GACGAACGCUGGCGGCGUGCUUAACACAUGCAAGUCGAACGGAAAGGCCUGCUUUCCCUUGUGGAUUGCGGGUACUCGAGUGGCGAACGGGUGAGUAACACGUGAGUGAUCUGCCCCCAACUUGGGUAUAAGCCUGGGAAACUGGGUCUAAUUCCCGAUAGGACUGCAGGGUGGUGCCGGGGGUUGAAAACGAGUUUCUAGUGGUUGGGGAUGAGCUCGCGGCCUGUCAGCUUGGUGGUGGGGGAAUGGCCUACCAAGGCGGCGACGGGGAGCCGGCCUGGGAGGGUGGACGGCCACAUUGGGACUGAGAUACGGCCCAGACUCCGACGGGAGGCAGCAGUGGGGAAUAUUGCACAAUGGGCGGAAGCCUGAUGCAGCGACGCCGCGUGGGGGAUGACGGCCUUCGGGUUGUAAACUCCUUUCGACCGCGAGGAAGCCACCUGGUUGGAAGGGUGGUGACGGUAGUGGUAGAAGAAGCACCGGCUAACUACGUG
RNAcentral lists this ribosomal RNA (494 nucleotides) under uncultured bacterium. RNAcentral describes it as "partial 16S ribosomal RNA". It matches the Rfam family "Bacterial small subunit ribosomal RNA", at positions 28 to 507 of the family's 1533-position model. The record is from RNAcentral.